AUGAAAUAUGAAAUAUCUUAUGCUAAGAAGAGAAAAUUCGGAAAACAGGAGUGCGCUCUGAAAAGCGUAAAAUGAGGGGUCUUUUUGCGAAACCAAACAUCCCUGCAGGCUCCACCUCCCCCAAACCCUAGCCGCCACUCGACCGCUGUUCCCCUCUUGCUCUCUCCCUUGCCCUCACGGCGGCGGCGGCAGGCCAUCGCUCGCUUUUCUCCACCAUCGACGACCAGUCCCCUUUCUCCUCCAUCGCCCCUCUCGUGCAGAUCGGAAAUGAUUUCUCCUCAUCCCGAUUUGACCUCUGGUUCGACCGAUAUGAAGCAGGCGGCGGCCGCGCCCGCGAAGAGCACCAGUUCGUGCGAGGAUGCGUCGGUGGCCAAGAGAGAUCAAGGAGGAGAUAGCUGGCGGUCACUGCGGCGGAGGGAAUCUGCCUGGAACUUGUUCGUUCUUGAUGUCAUUCUCAAGAGCACUGCAUCUAGGCAGUGGAUUUUGCUUGGAUUCGCUUGUGCUUUGACGCCGGUCUGAUGGUAUUUGGUUAAAAAAUGCCAGGUCUACUUUCUUCCCUUUCCCUUACCUCAAAUGAUUCUCUUAUGGUUUGUGGCUGGAAUGGAGCAAUCGAUUUGGUAAAAAAUGUCAGUUAGUGCAAGCUACAAGACUUGGCCUUGUGCUGCUGGAGCAGAGGUUGGCUGCCUACCACUGCUGUGUUGUGUGCUGCGACAUUUAAUCACCAAACAAGUACUAAUAAUCUACUGAUUUAUCUUAUGUUAAAUGGCAGGAACUCCUAUUAUCUAUCCUACUGUUUUUUGGGUUGCACAAUUGGAACUGUCAGAUUUUUUUUGGGUUGCACAAUUGGAACUAUCAAAGAUGGGAGGAUGUGUUGGUUGAUGUUCUAAUGCUAUCUGAUCAUCUUCUUCUCCAAUGAGAAAAAAAAAUGAAGCUGGCACUGCAACUCCUGCAAUAUAAAUCUGGGCAACCAUUCAGCCUUCAUAUAUCAUAAUGUGUUCCCAGAUUUCGAAUGAUAUGUUACACAUGAACUGAUUAGGAUGGCUAGGAGAAAUUUGGUUCUUUCUCCAGAUGAUGCAGUAACGAUAUAAUGACCUGAUAAGCAUGUACUUAUACAACAGCUAAGCAGAAAAUUGUAUUUCAUUGUUCAUAACAACUGAUUUGGCAAGCAUUUUGUGGACCUAAC
Oryza sativa Japonica Group (Japanese rice) is the source of this 1183-nucleotide non-coding RNA. The record is from RefSeq and is a predicted model, not a curated record. NCBI's taxonomy places the organism in Eukaryota, Viridiplantae, Streptophyta, Magnoliopsida, Poales, Poaceae.